GUGACCUUGGUGGGAGCCUGUUCAUUGCUGUCAUGGAGACGGAAUCAAUAGUGCAGUGGGAUAAGGAGUCAGUGGGAAGUGAAGGAUGUUAACGAGGAAGGUAGAAAACUCUGGAACUCUGAUAUUGAAGGGAAAGAAGGAGAGAGAGAAAGAGGGUGAGCACCUGUGUGAAUGGGAAAGAGGGGUCCAAAGAGGGAUUUUUGAAAUUCUCAGUUUCUUAAAAGUAUAAAAGCUAAUGUGCAAGAGCCAUCGCAUCUCAGAUUUGCCCCUUGAAUUUUCCCAUAUUUCUCUCUUAUGUCCUUUGUUGUGUUAAUUAGACGCCUCCAGUGGAACAGUGUGGGUUUUGAGCUCCAUACAUAUUUCGCUGUCAGUGAAUGGAAGAAUGGAGAAUUGUGUGUCACAGAAUCCUAGUAAGUUUUGGAUUUUUGCCUGUCAGGGAGGCAGCAGAUGGCUGAAAUCCUGGCGUGACGUGGCUGGAUCUUGCACGAUCUGAGGACCCCUGCACUGAUGACUGGGACAGGUCCAGAUCUUUCCUAUAAAUAUAUUAAGAUUCGGAUCAGUCCUGAGCAGCAGUUAGGCCAACGCCACCCCUCGCUGCCCUGGCGCCGUCUCUCACCGACCUCAGCAGGUACGUGUCAGGAUGGAAAUGAGGCUCCAUCCCUAGCCCUCCCCAGAGGACACAGAGCAGCCUCCCUUUCAGAAAUGGGCUUCCAGGGCUGGAGAAACGAUCCAUCACACUCCCCUGAUAAUGUGGCCCUGAGGAGUAGUCACUCAGCAACCCCUCUGGUUGAUGAAGAUGACAGAGGAGAUGAAAUCCCACCCUUUGCACCAAGAGACAGGUGUCGGGCCACAUCUGUCAGCUGACCCCUGAAGCGGAGAGUGGGGCUCAGCAGAAGCUAAGGUGUUGCCGAUGGGACAUGUGAUCUAGGGGGAAGGAAGGUAUGUAUGGAACAGCUUUGAGAAAUUGUACUUGAUGUUCCAUCUCCUUGAAUCCUAAAGCCAUUCAAGUUCCCCGUAACUAUGACCAAUAUUCAUACCAGGGUCCCGAGUGGAGGGGAGUUUAGGUCAACCAGGGAAACGCUUUCUGUCGUCUCCAGUCAGCAGCUCACUCUGGAAUUACUGAAGUUUUUCCAUUUUGUCUUGAUGCCUCCGGGGCUCUGGAUGCUGUACUCUCCCUAUAGAGGCCAUUUCAUGCUCCCAGGUGUUGUUGAACCUUUAAAAAAUUUUUGAUCUGUAAAGUUUUUCAGUCACAAUACUAUUGAAAUGGAAAAGGAAAUUCUAAAUUUAAAAACACAAAGAAGUGUGUAGACUUCAGGGAGAACACGUGCAAGCGACACCACAGAUAUAGGGUUAGCAUCCCCGAUUUGUGGAACACCCUUACUGUGAAACAAAGAGAUUGGCAAGAGCUUUGAACGAAAGAUUUACAUACAAAUAUACAGGAACAAUCAACACGUCAGUUACAAUAUGCCAAAAUCACAAGAACUAAUAUCAUGAGAUCAUUUUCUAAUCCUGAAAAAUAAUACUAAGAGGAAAAGUCAAGAUGUAGAAUGUUUUAUGUAAAAUCUCUUGGGAGAGACGCUGUGUGUGUGCAGGUGUCUGUGUUCGUGCACCCCUCCGCCACAGGGACCCAUCUGGAGAGGAGGCCCCACUCUAUGACAACAGGCCCCUUAGGGUCAGGGGUGGGAGUCGGGGCCGUGAGAGAUGCAGGACAACUUCAAUUUAUAAAUACAGUUUCACCUAUUGUGUGAAAUACUGUACUCAGGACAAAUGGUACCUUGGUAACACUGAAAACAGAAAACCCUCGUGAACAGAUUGACAAGAGUGCACAUAUCUUCACUACUUUGUAAAACUGUUCAUUGUAUUCAAUUUCAUGGGGAAAUGAAGUAGCUAAAAAAACCCAGUUGACUUUGUGUGUGUGUGUGUGUGUGUGUGUGUGUCCCCUCUGGCUCUACCACCUCAAGGACACACUCACAGUUGCAGCUUUACCCUCAUUCAGACCAGAGCUGGACUUCCAAUCUCGCGUUUGGAUAUCCCCGAAAAUGUGCUUUUUAUAUCCUGGGAAACUGACGGAUUGAGAGGGAUUGCUCCAGGUGAGAGAAAUGCAGACAACGCUGGCUGAUCCCAUUAAGUCACUCCCAGGCUUUAUCCCUCCCUCCCUCUUGCUGAGCCCAGUGGUCUGACUCUCAGAGCUGCAAUCCUGCAUCUGGCCACCAGGUGACAGCGCAUCCAUACCCAUUUUGCUUUUUCUUUUUUGAGAAAAAGGAGUGCAUUCUGCAAAGAAUAACACAUAGCUUGGACUGGUUGGUUUACUAUGAUGCCAGUUCUGUUUCAAAAAUUCAUCUGUAUAUUGAAGCAGUUCCAUCUGCUGUUGACCCCAGAUCUACAUCGUGUUCGCUGAUUUCUCUCUUCCCUCAUCAGUGUAGGUUGAGGAGUCCACACUGUAGAGAAAGUCCCUGCCAGAGGAGGCGGAUUUCCCUCUCCGUUACCCCACCCCAGUACAGGCUUCCCAGACCUGCUCCCAUGCCGCCUGUCAUCCCCUGUCCAGGACGCGGCUGCCCAGACCCUGCUGCCAUGCCUCAGCCUCUCUGUCACCUUCCGCCUGCCCUGUGCUGCCCUUGUCCCACCAGCCUCUGACUCCCAAGGCGCGCUACUGCCCACUGGGGUUUCAUCCCAUGCAGGUCCCGGAGUGUAUGUUUUUACAAUCUUCUUGUACACCUAUCACUUUUCUUCAGAAAGAAUUACAACCAUUCUAUAUGGGUUCAUAGGCUGUUUUGUUUUAUUUGUUUGUUUUUGAAGGGAAAGAUUCGCCCGGAGCUGACAUCUGUUGCCGAUCUUCCUCUUUUGUUUUUUCUCCCCAAAGUCCCAGUACGUGGUUGUAUAUUCUAGCUGUAAGUCCUUCUAGUUCUUCUACGUGAACUGCCACCACAGCAUGGCAACUGACAGAGGGAGUGUGUGGUUCCGCGACCGGAAACGAACCGAGUACUGUGGUGAAGGCACCGAACUUUAAGCACGAGCCAUCAGGGCUGGCUGCAGGCUGGGUUUUAAGAGGUUAUUGUACCGUUUUUUACUCCUGGCAGGCAGUUCUUAGGAGAGAAGUCUGAUACUGAGGGUAUGUUGCUGCCACCUUGUGACGGAAGCCUGAACUGCAGCUUGGACUUCCCUCAGCAGGAACUUGGGAGAGAGGGGCUGUGGCCCAAACCCACCAGACAGAACUUUCUGGAAGUCUGCGUAGAAAGGAGGGAAUUCCUUGUGUCCAUCUAUACUGAUGUCCUCUUUCUGGACAUUUCCUGUAAAUGGAAUCAUAUGAUAUGUGUUGUUUUGCAUAUUCAGCUUCUUUCACUCGGCUUAAUAUUUUCAGUGUUUAUCCGUGUUGUAGCUUGUGUCAGCAUUUCAUUCCUUUUUAUUGCCAAAUAAUAUACCACAUUUUAUUUGUCCAUUCCUUAAUUGGUGAACAUUUGGAUUGUUUCCACUUUUGGCUAUUAUGAAUAGUGAUGCCAUGUACCUUUGUGUACAAAUUUUUAUGUAGACAUGUGUUGUCAUGUCUCCUGGCUGUGCAUCUAGGAGUGGAAUUGCUGGGUCAUAGACAGUAACUCUCUGUUGAGCUGUGUGAGGAACUGCCAGGCCGUUUUGAUGCCCCUGGCAGUCUUGAGGGAUGCAGGGCUAGUCUGCACAGUGAUUAGACUGCGCUUCUGGGUUUUGAGAAGGAACACCGUAGAGUUGAAGGGCUCUUUCUUGUCACAUCAUAUCUGGGAGGACAUGAUACCCACAUGACAUCACUGGGUCACUGGACAGGUUGACCCACCUCAUUGGGUUAAGGUGGUGUUUGUUGAGUUUCUCCAGGGUGCAGUAACUAUUUUCUAUUCCCAGACUCUGUUCUUUAGGAGUGAGUCUCUAAGCCUGCCCUGCCCUCGAGGGUGGAGGCUGAAUUAAGGUUCACCUCAUGGAGGCAGGAUAUCUACCUCCAUGUUAAUUGCAAUAUUUUUUCGAAUUAUUUCAUAAAGACAGUUUGUCUCCUGUCAUCCAUUUAUUUCUUCAUUCAAACAUUUAUUUAUAUCAGUAUGGGUUCAUUGAAACUUAUUUUGUAGAUUGAAUUUUUUUUUUAAUUAAUGGCUACUUCCACAGAGAAAGUCCAGCAUCGUGAUUUCUGCGGUGCAGUGAAAGAAUUCUGACUUAAUCAGAAAACUGCAAAAGAGUUCCCUAUCACCACCGUUAUAUUGUCUAAGUAUGGCACAUUAGACACUGCUUUCAGACUAUAUACAUAUAAAACAAUGGCAGAAUUUGGAACAACAUUAUAAUCACAGACGAUUUUUUUUCGUACCUGUUAAUCCCUUGAAAAAGAAAUGAAAAACAGAUAAGGCAGGUUAUUGAAGUGGGCAUUAAAAAAUUAUUGCUAACAUGCACUAAACAUAUUUGCAAAAUACUUUUCAAUGAAGCAAACGUAUGAGAUAUGUCAGAGGAAAGGUGUGCCCAUGUGAAAGCCCAGUCUCUAAGCACCACCUUCACGCUAUCAGACUCUGACUCUGUGGAGGCGUUUACAACACAGGCAUUUACGUAACUGAUCGCACUGCAGUAUAAUCCUUGUCUCUACCCAAGCAACUGAAUUCCGUCCUGGGGGAAGGAAAUCCUUUCCUCUCCGGUAAUGCCUGCCUCCUUUUGAAUAGGUAUUCCAAUAUUCUUUUUCUUUUAAGAUUUUUAAAUUUUUCCUUUUACUCCCCGAAGCCCCCCAGUACAUAGUUGUAUAUUUUUAGUUGUGGGUGCUUCUUGUUGUUGCGUGUGAGACGCCGCCUCAGCAUGGCUUGGUGAGCCGUGCCAUGUCCUCGACCAGGAUCUGAACCAGCAAAACCCUGCCCGCUGAAUCGGAGUUCGCGAACUUAACCGCUCAAACACCGGGCCGGCCCCUAUUUCAAUAUUCUUGAUUGAUAAAGGUGACAAAGAGGUGGUUGUUGAGUUGGCAAGUGUGCUCUCAGUGGCAGUGAGGGGGAACACAGCCCCAUUCGAUGAGGGAUGAAACUGAGUUGGAGGGGAGGUGCAGGGCGAUGAGAGUUGAGUAUCCAGAAUUCUUCCUAGAACUUUGGUGCAAACGGGAUGAUAUGUAAAGAGGACAGUAACUAGAGGUGUGGAGAGGGGUCCAAGGUAUUAAAGCAUAUUUUAAAAUCAAUUAUAAGAGACUUGAGCCAGGUGAAAUCUUAAUGGGAAGGAGCCCUCUCUUCUCAGAAUUAACAUCUGAAUUUACCACACCACCCUUUCCACCCUUGACUUCCUUGUUUCCAUUCUGGAGAAGCCUAGAACUUAAGCAAAGGGAUGGUGCAGCGUUUGGUGUUAAUACCUCUUAACUGAAUUCCUGGUUGGACGGACCGAUAGACGGAUGGAUGGAUGCAGGAUGUGUCAGACAUGUGCUGAGAAUUGACGGAUGUUUAUGUCCUGGGGCAAAGCUCUUCAUGCAGAUGACGGACCCCAUGGCGUCGGGUGGCUGAGAGGAUGCAGCUUCUCAGGACUCUGCACUGGAUGGCUGAUAGAUGGGAAGCAUUUCGGGUGUAAGGACCUUCCAGCGCUUCGCGGGUGCCACAGAAAGCUGACGCGAUACGGCGACCAUGACGACAUUGUAAUAGAGACAGAGGUGGCCUCGCGAGAAGAGCAGGUCCCGCCUUCAGGUGUUGGGUACUCAGCUGAGAUGGGAGACCCCACGGUGGGGGAUGAACGGCCCUGGGACGUGGAGGAGACAAAGGGACCCAGAUCCAAGGCGGGUCUUUCCCGCUUUGGGACUCAGAGUCCCGGCGGGCUCGUAGGUAAAGGCACUGGGGUCUCGCCGGUCCCAGUGAGUGUGGCGUCCUGCCCCAAGGGUGUCCUACAGAUGCUUUCCUUCUAAAUUCAGGGACGCGGGAGAUGACACAGGGAACGGCUCUCUCUGAGCCCCAGUUGCCCCCUCUGUUAAACGGGAUGAGAAUGCUCAAACCCCAGGAUCGCUGGGAGCGUUCAGUGACAACACGUGAGUAAGCCCAUGGCCCUGUGGUUACUGCGGGACCGUGAGUGUCUGCAUGAAUUCCGGCCACUUGUUAUUGUUUUCAACUUUGUCGUUAGGGGAUAGAGGAGGAAAAGAGAGAAAAAAGACCCUGAUGACAGCCCGUUGUACUUUCUGGGUGUUAUGAUCACUACCCACUUGUAUCAGUGUCAUUGUCACUAUCCCGGUGCCUAGCCUGGUGCGGGGCACACUGUUACUCCAGGAAAGCAGAGUGAUUGCUGGAUCUGUCUCUGCCUGUGCAGCUCUUCAUGCUGCUGGCCGAGCUCCUAUCAGGCGUCUGAAGGAGGCAGCUUCUGAGGAUCUGUGUCUCCAUGACUGCUGAACCAUCUGCUCCAGAUUCAAGGGCAGCCAUCCUCAGGAGACCACGACACUUCACAUCCCUGCUUGGAUAUGAGGCCUGGUCCGACUCUUCAUGCCAGUGGCCAAACUCCUAUCAGGCGUCUGAAGGAGGCAGGUUUUGAGGAUCUGUGUCCUGCUGGCUGCUGAACCAUCUGCUCCAGAUUCAAGGGCAGCCGUCCUCAGGAGACCCCAGCCCUUCACAUCCCUGUUGGGAUAGGAGGCCCGGCCCGAGUGACUUCUUAGGUUCCAACGAAAGCAUGUUGUGGAAUCCGUCCUGUGAGGUUCACAAAGGAGCCUCAAAGGAGAGAAGCUGAUUUGAUCCCCUCAUGAAAGAAGACAUUUAGCAGAUGGAAUCCAUUUCUUCAGCAGCUGCAUGCUCUGUAGUAGCCCUGAAGCCCAAAUUAGAGAAGUCUUUUUUUUUUUUUUUUUUUGCCAAAAAGCAAUGGAUUGUCCACUUGGGAAGAUGGGUGUGGAAAUAUGCAGUAGUUGCAUCUUUCUGGCAAUUUGACGUUGUCAUGUAAAUUCUUCCCUGGUGACCAUGGCUUUUUUCCUCUUUGGGCCGUCAGAGGAGGGUGUGGACUCUGAGCCUCAGAAGCAGGAGCUGACAGAGAAGAACCAAGUGUGCUGGCGCGUGUGCAGACAGGUUCCUGGAGCAAGAGUGAGGAGAUCAGGGUCCCAUCACUGGGACACUUUAGAUAAUUUGCAAAGCCAUGUAGCCAGAGCAUGUGCAGAAGAAGAAAUCUUGACCUGAAAUGACCACAAAACUGGAGAUUCUCCUUCCCAUGGAACGAAAGCACCAGGGCAUGACCAGAACUUAAAAGUCAGAUUCAUAUCAGAAGCCAGGGUCCAUCAUUCAGGCAGAUCCUGUGUUAAAAUUACUUCCUCACAUUUCUAUAAAAGUUUAGAACCUGACCAUAAAUACUUGAAGUCCACCAAUCAAAACCUGUCCCGCAAGCAUUUCCACAUGCCAGGCUGUUCUCCCUAACCUCUAAAUUUCGCCCCAAAUCCUGAAGUGGGGAGACAGAUCAGAGGGUACAUGCCCCCAUCUCCCUCCAGAUCAAUCACACAGAAUAAAGCUGAUUUCUUUUCCCAAAUGAUGAUGCCAUAAUAAUUGGCUUCUAUUUUAAAAUAUUCAUCAAGUAGGAGAACCCCAUUUGUGUGGUAACAAAUUUUGGCAACCAAGAAGAGAGAAGGUCUUGUGACCACCUGCCUGAGGCUCUGGAGCCGCUGGCUUUGUGCAGGGUCUUUCACUGAUCCUAAGUGGCCGCUUAGACAUUUUGUCUGGAGGCUCAGCUGAUUGGAUUCCUCUUUCCCACCGUGGCACCCCAGGCCCCCUGGUACUCUUUAUCCUUUUCAGAGAGGAAACUUCUCCAGGAUCAGAUGUCUUUUGGGUGAGUGACCUCAUUAAAACAUGCCUGUGCCUAAAAUUGUCUAAACCAGUAUUGUGGGUUAAGAUUCCCCACUGGGGAGAUUUUUCCUGGGUUAAAUUCCCAAGGCUAGAAUUGUUGGUUCAAGGGAGACAAUAUAAAAGAGUCCCACUGGGGCACUCAAAGGAUGGGGUUAGAGUCCUGAACUCUGGAGUAGGGUCCCAGAGUACCCUGGGUAAGAGUUCCAGAGUACCCUGGGUUAGGGUCCCAGAGUAUUUCUGUGUCUGUUUAUGUUUGUCUGUGUUUUACUGUUUUAUUUGUUAAAAUUGGCUGUUUUGGGACUGAGUUUCUUGGUGACCAUAAUAAACUCUCUUUAGAAAUUACCUUGUUUGUUGAGGCCACCUUAGGCAAAGCCCCUAAAAUGGGGAUAAAUGUAAAUGACUGGCAAGAUAACCUAACCCGGGGUAAUUUAAAAUUACAGUGGCCACUUUGGGCUCCUUUUGAGCUUUCAAACUGAGAAACAAAGAUAUCUUUAAAGAGUCAAGUGCACCACCUUCCAGCACAAUUACUCAAAACCUGAAGCUUCCAGAAGCUGUAAAUGUUUACAAAGAACUGCAGAAUCUUACCAAGCUUGUUUGGUGUCCUUAGGGCUUGGUUUAAUAAUCCUCAGGUUGGAGGUCCCAAAAUACGGUUGGGCAAAAAUGUGGUUGCACCCCAUUUUGUGGUCAGAUGUGGCUGGGCAGAAAUGUGGGUUGCACCCUCUUUUGUGGCUAAGGUUCCUGCCAAACUGCUGUCAGCCUUGGGGGAAAUACAUUGGCCAUUAGAAAGAAGACUUGGUUUGGCCUUCAUUGUGAGGGUCCUGGUUUCAGGGAUACCUGAUAUUUUCAAGAUCUGGUUCUAGCUGCAGCAUAAAUGUACUUUUGACUGGCUGUGUCUAAAUUCCAAAACAAUGGGAAACGCUAAUUCAAUCCCCACCUGUAGCCUCUAGGCUGCAUUCUACCAAAUUGGGCAAAUUUUAGCUAUGAGUCUAUGAAGAGGAAAAGGUGAUAUUCCUUUACAACACCACAUGGCCACAAUAUUCUUUAGACUCUAGAGAAAAUGGCCAGGUGAUGGAUCAUUCAGUGACUCUGGGAAAUUUGGUUUGAGUACUCAUUGGUUUAUUGAUCCUUCUCCUCCCAGAGAUGGCCACUAUUUUUCUUUGUCUCUGUCUUUUGUGUCACUUGUCAUAAAAAGAAAAAGCCAUAGGGCAAGAUGCAGGCAUCUCCAUAAGCCUGUUGUCGGGGCUGGCCUGCAGUAAACUUUGCUGUGGGUUAAUAUGCACAUGAGGUGAAAGCUGUUGCUAAGUGACAUCUUGGAAGCCAAAAAGGCUGCAGUAUUGAUGGGCACAGGUCGAGCAGUUCAGAGCCAAUAGGGUGCUCGCCACCUCAAGAAGACUCCUGCAAUAGGACAAGUUGGCCAUGGAAUGGGGUAAAAUAACACAGGGUGCCCAAAAACCUCAAGAAAAUUUACGUGCGACGAGGUACUCUGUAAAACACACACAAUCGCCAACCCUACACCACCAUCCUCCCAGGUAUUAGUUUGGCUCUGAGAGACCCAAGGCUUAGUCAAAGCUGUUAAUGUGCAUAUAAGAUGAAGUUUUUUUUCCUUCUGUCUUGUUCUGUGUCUUGAGAGCUUGGCUUUGUGACCUCUUUGGUCUCUGCCAUCUGGAGGAUGCACACACUGGUGUGUAUCUUGGUGGCCAGUCAAAUAGACUGAGGUUCUGAGAUGUACUUGUCACCAACUAAUUGCCCUGAGGAACUCAAGGGAGUUUUCGGAAGCAUUUAACUCUUUCUCCAAAUUGGUUUUUGUUGUUGUUAUGCUAAGAGAUGAAAUCACCAACCACCCUGAACCAGGCAGAGCCUCACCACAAGAGCAGCGCCUAUGCAGAUGAGCUGAUAGAUGACCUAAAGUUGUCCUUUACUUCAUUUUAAUGCUGAGAUCUCCACCCCAGGAGGAGCUUAGGCCUUAUUAGCCUAAUGUAUGAUGUAUAUGGAAGCAUGUUUUCCAACUAAGCCUGCACAAGUGAAUACCCACCUCUCCCUUUUGAGUAUUCAUUCCCCACUAAAUUAAAAGGCCCCUGCUGUCCCAUGCUGGGGGAGACCCACAACUUUGGAAAUGAUUCCAAAUGGUCUCCUAUUGGCUGCAAAUAAAUUUUACUUUGUAUGACAACUACUUCUGGUGAAGGCUCUGAUUUCACUUCACCAGGAAGCAGACCCACUUUGUUUCUGUAACAUACUCUUUUUGUGCAGCUGUAUCAGCUCUGAGGAGAGUUUGUCAUAAGGGGUCCCAGUCCAUCAGGGGCCUUUGUUAUCUCAACCUUUGUUGCUUGUUAGUGCACUACUGCCUGUGCAACAAAGGCCUUUGCUUUCUUAGACUAUUUUUGGGAUUGAAUUUUCUGGAUCUUGUCAGGGCUGCUUCUUUUGCACUCUCUAUUGGGGACAAUUCUUGUGUCCAUGGUUAAGCCACAAAAGGCUUAUUGGUUUGAGUCACUAUUAAGGUCCUGCUCAUCAAUGGCCAGACACGAUGGAUCCCUAAAUUAGAAACACUUCUAAAUUUGAAAAAUUUUUAGAGCGCUCUUGUAAUGAAUAGUCUUAAGAACUUAAUCAAAUUUGGAGUCUCAGCUUCCUCUCAUGGUCUUACUAAUGAAAGUUCCACCCGCCCCUCCACCCAGGGUGAAUUGGUCAAGAGUUGAAUUGUGCACUUGGAACAAAGGCCUUUAUUAAACACUUUGUGCAGACUUUUUAAAGAUGUGGUAAAUUGUCCUGAAGUUUUAGAACAUAAAAAUCUUUUGAUUAUGUAAAGAAGCAAUUGGAAAAAUGUAGCUGAAAGGGUGGAUCAACCUCUUUUAUCAUUCGUAUUGUAAUCCAGUUCUUUGGGGAACGGGAAACAACCAUCUUUGUCUUCAAAUUUCUGUAGGGCUGGAGGUGUUGCUCUAGAAAGCGUUUCAAAGUUCACUUGUCCUUUUGCCAAUCCCAAAGCUUCCCCUGUUCUUCUCAAAAUGCUCACAGAUAUUGGGACAUUAGAAACUGAUAUGGCAAAUAUGCCCCAGAAACUUCAUCUUGAAGGAAACUUGAGUGCUUUGUGAUGUGGCUUUUCUGUUCCCAUCUUCUGUAGGCUCAUCAAAAAACGUAAAAAGCCUUAGCCAUUUAAGCAGACAAACGUAACAUUUCCAGCUGUCAAAACAGAAUUUGGAUCCAAUUAUUUUAUAAACUAGUGAGUUUUGUAUUGCACCUGAUUCAUAGCAAAAAUUUAACAGAAGCUGUAAAGUCUCUAUCUGUGUUUACUUGUGUGUUCAUGUAUGUCUAUAUGUAUAUGUUGUAAAUGUGAGAUAUUUUUCUACCUCUGGAUGGUAUGGACAAAAUUAAGAGCUCUAAUUAAUUGGCUUAAAGUGAGCACUUAUAUAAAUGUAAUAGAAAGUAGUCCAAAUGUCUUCCAAGUUAACAUGGUAUACUCUUCAGUAAAUAAAAGCUUAUUUAAGAUGAUUUGUUUGAUCAAAAUGGUCAUGUCCUCAGAGUUAUUAGCAUCAGAUAUGAUACAGACAUGCCUUUAUUCUAUGUUUAUUGGUCAAGUAAGCUCAUAUUAUCUCUGUUAAAAACUGGUUAGGAGAAAUAAUAACUUAAAAUGAUAGCUAAUUUUGCCUAAUGUCUCAUGAAGUUCUGUAGGCAAUCUAAAUAAUUAUUGGGAACAAGUAAACUAAAUAGAUAUGAAAAAGGUAAAAGCAUUGUGUGAACUUUUUAACAAUAACUAUGUGUUAUGGCAUGUGUAUUUAACUUCCAAAAUCUCUUCAGUAACUUUAAACUUUGAAGUUUUGCUAAAUUUAGCUAAAUGAUAAGAUUCAUUGAAAAUCUGGGUCAUUUUAAAAUUAGAUAAAAUAAUGAAACAUUAUUGCUAAACAUGUCUAAGUUUAUUUACUUUUGGCUUCUUGUUACAGAGAAACUAAAAGAUGUUUGGGUAUAUUAGUAAACUUGUCUUGUAUUUUAUUAAAAGAUUGUACUGUGAAGUGUCAUGUUUCUAGAAAUUAUGAAAAAUGUUUAUAAACUUGAAAAGCCACAGAAUGCUAAUGUAGAAAUGGUUUAUAAUUGUUCACUUUUUUUUUAAAGAUUGACACGUGAGCUAAAAUCUGUUGCUAACCUUUUCCCCCCCUCUUCUCCCCAAAGCCACCCAGUACAUAGUUGUAUAUUCUAGUUGUAGGUCCUUCUGACUCUGCUAUGUGGGAUGCCACAUCAGCAUGGCUUGAUGAGUGGUGCUAGGUCCAUGCCCAGGAUCCAAACCAGGGAACCCCUGGGCCACUGAAGUGGAGCACAUGAACUUAAACACUCGGCCAUGGGGCCGGCCCCUGAAUUGCUUGCUUCUUAAUUUUUACUAAAAGUUAAGGUCUGUAAAGGUUAAGAAUUUUAAUUAAUAUAUGUGAUUAAAGCUACUAAAAAUUAAUAAGGAAAACAUCUUUGUAUUCAAGGAAAAUAAGAUGUAUGUUCUCAGUAAAGAAGGUAUAAAGAAUGGAAAUAUUUUUGUCUGUUUUGUAAAAAAGAAAUUUGUCCUAAAGUACCAGGAGGGGAGAAAGAAGGCAUGGGGCAAAUUCUGGAUGUAAAAAAAUUUAUAGAAGUUUUGUGGAAGAGGAUCCCGGGGAAAGUAUGUUGUACAUGAUCAAGAUGGCUAAGAUUAAAAUAAAUUUAAUAAGUUAAUAAGUUUUAAUAUCAAAAGUAAGCUGGUGCAAAAUUAGAAUUUGGUUUUCUCUCUCUUAAAAGAGAUAAUUUUCUUGAAAUUUUAGUCUUCUCUUGAUAAAGAGAUUAUAAAAGAUUUUUUUUACUUUUGAGUGAGUCUCACUUUGGAUAAGUAGAUAACUAAGCAUUAUUUCACAGUGAGCAUUGUUUCCUAUUUGACCAAGUGUUUUAAAACUUUUUGAUAUUUUUGACAAGCUUCCCCCCAAAUUCAAAUCGUGAACAAAGUCUUUCUUUGGACCUGAAAAAAAAGUUUUUCUUUGAAAAUUUGCUGAUGACCCCUGGGACUACUCAAAGAAAUUUGUUCUCUCUUCCUAUAAAGAGGAAGACACUAAAGUAAUUAAGCUUAUUUAGUAUAUUAAAUUAUAUGGGAAACAUUGUCAAAUAAGUGAUGAUAAACCUUCUUAGGUUAUAUUGUAUGGGUGAAUGUUACUAAUAUAAGUGUUUUUAAAAAUCAUAUAACAUUUCUAAAACUCUGAUCUGUCCUGGUAGUCAACCAUAAUUCUAGUUAUUAUUUUGAAGCAUUGUAUGUCACAGAAAUAGCCAAGUUUCUUUGUCUAUUGCCUUUUUGAAUCUUUUGUCAUUUGCAGAUAGUUGUUGGUUUACUGUGAGGGUUUUGCAAAUGUACUUUAUCUUCAGAGAGAUUUAUGGAAAGGACUCUGACACUUGCUCUAGAAUGCAGGUUUCUGAUAAACUUUCAGAUUAUAAAACUGAGCUGGGGAAAAAAAAAGAAAUUACACAACUCUAAUGGAGAAACUGAUGGUCUUAUAAAACUGCUAACAGAAGAUUAAGAUCAAGAAUCGAUUACACAGCACUGCAUGAACUGAUGAGGAUGAUUAUAAUUUUUAUGACUUUUCCUUUGAGAUAUUGCUGAUUUUUAAUGUUUUGUCUUUUCAGAUUUAAGGAAACCUUUAUCUCUUUUCUUUUAAGCUAACUAUGACACAGCAAUUUGGUAAAUGAUACCGUUGUAAGCAGAACUGAAACACUUAUCUUUUUCUCCCUAUCUAAUCCCUCCAGAAUUUGGAAACUCUUGAUGAGUGAGCAUUCUUAUUUUCAUGUAAUAUAGUUAUUUGCAUAAGUUCAAUAAGAAUCUGAUCUCCUUAUUGCAGGACACAAUUGGAAACACUGGUUAUAUUACUAGGGGUUUGAUUGGAAUGUCAUAUUUCAGAGAAACCUGCACAGAUUCAGAUAUGAUGAGAGAGCUUUUGAGGAACAAAGAUUCACUUCAUGGAAUAAAGCCACUUGGAAAUAUUGGCCUGGUACCUUACUUACAGGUUCACAGCAACUUUACCAGGAAUCAUUGAGACAUGAAACAACCUUUUUUCCUGAAGCCCUGCAAACUGAAGCUGGAUGACUUGAUAUAAACAAAUGCUUCUUAUUAAAUACCUGACUACAAUAUAGGCUUAACUUUGGGAGCCCACCUGCAUAAUCACCUUACAAAGAGACUGGUUCAAUGAGAUGGAAUAACCUCUGACCCUCAUCAACAGGAAGAAGCUACAGCAGUCAUCACCCUACAUCCUCAGGUUUGAGGAAUGAACACCAAAAAUGGGGGAUUUGUAACCAUGGGCCCAAUUAUAGCCAAUUUGAACGGACCUCAUCUCUCAUCAACAGAGUGAUCAAGAAAUUGUCUUUCAGAAAAUUUGCAAACUCAUGUAGCCAGAGCAUGUGCAGAAGAAGAACUCUUGACCUGAAAAGACUGUAGAACCAAAGGUUCUCCUCCUCACGGAACGAAAGGACCAGGACAUGACGAGAACUUAAAAGUCAGACUCUUAUCAGAAGUGAGGGGUCUAUCAUUCAGGAAGAUCUGGUGUUAAAAUUCCUUCCCAAUGUUUCCAUAAAAGUUUAGAACCUUACCACAAAUGUUUAGAACCUUACCAUAAAUGCUUGAAGCCCACCAGUCAAAACCUGUCUUGCCGGCAUUUCUGUGUGCCAAGCUGUUCUCCCUAACCUCUUGAAUUUCACCCCACAUCCUGAAUCAAGGAGACAGAUCUGAGGGCACAUGCCCCCUAUCUCCCUGAAGAUCAAUCUCACAGAAUAAAGCUGAUUUCUUUUCCCAAAAGCUGGUGUCAUAAUAAUUAGCUUUGUUUUAAUGCACAUGGGGUAUGAGAACCCAAUAUGUUCAGUAACAAUGUAUCUUGGGAUCUGAAUUCUCUAAUCUUCCUGAAGGCUGACAGUACAUGCUAUCCUAAUUCUUUACUUUUUUAAUAAUACUUCUGUUACAACACAAAAUUGGGGUUCUCCUACUGGCUACGUGGCUUUGUAAAUUUUCUGAAAGAUAAUUUAUUAAUUACUCUGUUAAUAAGAUGGAGUCAGUUGAACUGGUCCUGGAGGGCCUACGGUUACACUUACAUUGUUUCUAAGUCACAUUACUGAAAUUUAAAACACUUUCUAAAUGAAAAAAAAUGCACAAAGAGUUGUUAAAACAGAGAAGACAUUUGUAAACUACACCUCACAUAUUGGGUUCCUAUCCAUGAUUUGUGAAGCACACUAGGUAACAAAAUGACUGGUAACUAAUUUCAACAGAGAAUUCAAAUAAAAAUCAUAUAUAUAUAUGAACAAUAAGUAUGUUAAAAUAUGCCUAAACCAUUAGUGUCUUAGGGUUCUGCAGAGAAAUGGGAACAGUACGUUAUGUGUUUAUACAUAAAAGGAGAUUUAGAGCCAUCUGAUUGCCCAGUGGUUGAAGUUUGGCACUCCCGGCUUUGGUGGCCUGGGUUUGCUUCCUGGUCAUGGAACCACACUAAUCAUCUGUCAGUAGCCAAGCUGUGGUGGCAGCUCACAUAGAAGAAUUAGAACGACUUGUAACUAGGAUAUACAACUAUGCACCGGGGCUUUGGGGAGGCAAAAAAGGGCAGGGGAGAUUGGCAACAGAUGUCAGCUCAGGGCAAAUCUUUCUCUGCAAAUAAAUAAAAGGAGAUUUAUUAUGAGGAAUUGGCUUACGUGAUUAUGGAGACUAAGAGGUCUCAUGGUCUGCUGUUUGCAAGCUGGGGACCCAGGAAAGCCAGUGGUGUAAUUCAGUCUGAGUCCAAAGGCCUGAGAACCUGGCAAGCCGAUGGUUUAAGUCCCAGCGUGAGGGACAGAGGAUGCGAUGACAUGUCAAGUGAUGAGGCAGGAAGCAGAAAGGGGUGAAUUCCUCCUCCCUCUACCUUUUGUUCUAGCCAGGCUUUCAACGGAUUGGAUAAGGCCCCCACACACCAGGGAGGACAAUCUACUGAGUCCACUAAUUCAGAUGCUAAUCUCAUCCAGAAACACCCUCAUAGGCACACCCAGCAAUACUGUUUGACCUGGGCACCCCAUGACCAGUCAAGUUGACACAUAAAAUUAACCAUCACAACUAGAACUAAUAGAUGAAAAUAUAAACCCUAAGAAGAACAUUAAGUGGAAAAAGCAAGAUGCAAAAGAUGAGUACCAUGAUUCCUCUUUUGGAAGAGACCCUGUGUGUGUGUGCAGGUGUCUGUGUUCAUGCACCCCUCCCCCACAGGGACGCAUCUGGAGAGGAGGCCCUGCUCUAUGACAACAGGUCCCUUAGGGUCAGGGGGGAAGUCAGGCCCGUGAGAGAUGCAGAUUACUUUAUAAUAUACUUUCUUAUAUUGUUUGAAAUUUGAUACUCAGUAAAAACAGUAUUUGGAUAAAAAUCUGAACACCAAAUAUAGUUGUGAACAAAUUGACAAAAGUAAUAAUGCACGUAUAUUCAUUACUUUGAAAAAGCAUUCAUUGUAUUCAAUUUUAUGAGGCACCAAAGUAAAUAAAAAAUUGAAUUGACAGUGUAGUGUGUGUGUGGUCUUGUGUUUGUCUCUAGCUGGCUCACCCAAAAUACACACUCACAAGUGCAGUUUGACCAGGGCUGGGCAUCCAGUCUAGGUUAGAUAUCCCAG
Molecule: long non-coding RNA, 16354 nt
Filed under: Equus caballus (horse)
Lineage: Eukaryota; Metazoa; Chordata; Mammalia; Perissodactyla; Equidae
Description: lncRNA (ENSECAG00000055878.1)
Source: RNAcentral